This 497-nucleotide ribosomal RNA is filed under the name uncultured bacterium. RNAcentral describes it as "partial 16S ribosomal RNA". It matches the Rfam family "Bacterial small subunit ribosomal RNA", at positions 28 to 507 of the family's 1533-position model. The record is from RNAcentral.
GACGAGCGCUGGCGGCGUGCCUAAUACAUGCAAGUUGAGCGCUGAAGGUUGGUACUUGUACCAACUGGAUGAGCAGCGAACGGGUGAGUAACGCGUGGGGAAUCUGCCUUUGAGCGGGGGACAACAUUUGGAAACGAAUGCUAAUACCGCAUAAAAACUUUAAACACAAGUUUUAAGUUUGAAAGAUGCAAUUGCAUCACUCAAAGAUGAUCCCGCGUUGUAUUAGCUAGUUGGUGAGGUAAAGGCUCACCAAGGCGAUGAUACAUAGCCGACCUGAGAGGGUGAUCGGCCACAGUGGGACUGAGACACGGCCCAAACUCCUACGGGAGGCAGCAGUAGGGAAUCUUCGGCAAUGGACGAAAGUCUGACCGAGCAACGCCGCGUGAGUGAAGAAGGUUUUCGGAUCGUAAAACUCUGUUGGUAGAGAAGAACGUUGGUGAGAGUGGAAAGCUCAUCAAGUGACGGUAACUACCCAGAAAGGGACGGCUAACUACGUG